UGCUUUGUUUUUCUUUCAAAUACAAGUUCAGAUGCUUUUAUUUUCAUAUUUGGGUUAGUCUGUAUUCAUCCUGCAGCAUCGUGUGCUAACACGGCACAGAUAAGAAGUGACCAUAACAAAUCCUGCCCUGUUGUUUCCCUCCUCAGUGCUGUCUGUCUGUCUGCAUGGUCUUGUUUGCAGAAAUCUGAGCAGGGACUGAGAUGUCUGGAAAAUCCCCAAGCUGUUAUCGGCUCUAGUCCAAAUAAAUAAGAGUAGAAAGCAACUCCCACUCAUUCCUGUAUGAAAUCCUAUUAAUUUUCCAUGAUUUAGGCUAUGUAUAAAGACCUGCAGGAGUAUUGACCCUUUGCACAAUGUGCAAACCAAACAAAGGCCUGGACCUUGGAUGAACUCCCAGUCCUUCCCUGGGGUCUGACACAUGGAGACCUAAUUCUCAACGUAAUACGCUCAUUCGGAAUAGAUGUGAAGUGAGAAUGGGGAAAAGCUGUCUGCAUUGCACAACUCCACUUGAAAUAACAGAAGGAACAGUGUGUAAGGGCAUAAUUCACACUGAGCACCUGACUGAGCUGUAGUUGGCUGUCCAACUCACUGGCUUGUCCUGCAGUGGUGGGGCUGGGGGUGAACCCCCCUGCCUGGCGGAGACGAGCAAUGGCUGAGACUGAAAAUCUUUCUGCUCAGCAGGUGCUGUGGCUGCCCUACUGUAGGGUCCUGCGUUUUCCCAGAAGCCAUGCAGACUUUUGUUUUCUGGUGUUGGGCUAGAAUCUUCUCAUCCAGUUCAUAAAUGACUGCUUGCAAUUUCAUGCUCACUCUCUGUCCUAAGUACCCACGCAUUGCACCCCACGUGUUGGUGCUUGUGUGCAGCAUACAAAACCUGCUCUCUGGCUGUGCAAUUUCUCCUGGUUGAGGAAGAGGAGAGGCUUGUCCCAACAGAUCCAUCAUCUGCUUCCUGAAUUGCUCUGCAAGGAACCGGCU
Molecule: long non-coding RNA, 969 nt
Filed under: Gallus gallus (chicken)
Lineage: Eukaryota; Metazoa; Chordata; Aves; Galliformes; Phasianidae
Description: lncRNA (ENSGALG00010003118.1)
Source: RNAcentral